Hordeum vulgare subsp. vulgare (domesticated barley) is the source of this 1540-nucleotide long non-coding RNA. RefSeq lists it as uncharacterized. The transcript has 4 exons. Lineage: Eukaryota; Viridiplantae; Streptophyta; Magnoliopsida; Poales; Poaceae. The record is from RefSeq and is a predicted model, not a curated record.
UUCGAUGUGGUUUGUGGAAAGGUAUGCUAGCUUCUUAUAUAAAUAUGGGGAUGCAUUACAUAUCGUUGUAGGAAAAGAUUAUUCAAUAAUUUUCUUCUUUCUUCUCUUUGUGUUUAUGUAGGUAUAUAGGUAAGUUGAAGUCGAAUGUCCGUAACAGAGCUCAUCCUGAAGGAUCUAUCGCCGAAGCAUUUUUGGCAGAUGAGUGCAUGACAUUUUGUUCAAGAUAUAUUAUCGGUUUUGAGACUAAGCAUAACUUGGCUUCGAGGAACGAAGAUGACGAGGAGUAGGUUGGGAAUCAUGAUAUUGCACAUGGAUCAAGAUUAUUUCCUCAUUCUGGCAAUCCACUUGGAAGGCCUAGGAAUUAUGUUCUGAGCGGUGUGGCUAAAGUACAGGCACAUAGAUAUGUCUUGUUCAAUUGCUCCGAUGUGAACUCAUACCUUAGAGCUCAUGCUGAUGAGAUAACUAAUGGACGUAAUUUAAACCUUGAUGUUGUUGAGAGGAUUCAAAACGAUAAGUUCCACGAAUGGUUCCAAGCUCAUAUAAAGAAAUUGGAGAAGGAAAAUGGCGUCCAUAGUAUUGAAAAGGAUAUUAGAUUGUUGGCCCGGGGCCCAGUUAAUGCAGCCAAAAGAUAUUGCGCUUUCAACUCCCGAGGCUACCAUUUUAGGCCUAAACGCUUGGAUAAAGAGACACAAAAUAGUGGAGUCAUGGUAACUGCAAAAACAUCUCGUUAUGAUUCAGCACGCGAUGCUAAUGCAGUUUUACAGGAUGUGACGUACUAUGGGAGGGUAAUUGAUAUUGUCGAGCUAAAUUACUCUGGACAGUUUUCAGUGGUGUUGUUUAGAUGUGAAUGGGUUAAUGUGUUCUGAGAAAAAGGAAUGAAAAAAGACAAGUACGGUUACACACUUGUCAAUUUCUCACAUCAAAUACACAAAGGAGAAAAGAUUGAGCAUGAGCCUUUUAUUUUCCCUAACCAGGCGAAUCAAGUGUUUUAUGUGAAAGAUGAAUUGAAUCCAGGUUGGUUUGUGGUAAUGAAGUUGCCAAAGCCUAGAGAUGUAUAUGACUUAGGUAACUUGGAAUGGGAAGAGGAGACAGAAAACCAGCCAUUUCAUGUUUCACAGCUUGGAGAGAUUUUGAAAAGAAAGAACAAUGACCAACACUGGGUUAGAACAGACGUUGAGGGGACAAUAGUGGAUGCUACUAGUGCUUCGAGCACCGAAGAAUAGUUGAGGUUAGUAGCAACAAGGUAUGCACUAUGUUCAGGUUUCGACUACAUGCUACAUGGAGGCAUAGAGGGGGUGGUGGCAUGUGUGCUUUGUGUUGGUACAGAACUGCUUGGUGGCUUCGUGCAGAGUAGCUAACAAACUUGCUUGACGAUAUACUAAUGUGUGAGACUAUGUGUUGGUCAAAACUUAGUGUACUCUUAUAUUUAUGCUUGAUAAUUUGGUUCGCUAUGAUAGCACGUGCUUAUCUGGAACUUCAUUUUGUACUUUAAUCAACAACAGUUCAUAAUUGAGAUACACGCAACUUGUUUGGAAAUUUA